RNAcentral lists this non-coding RNA (77 nucleotides) under Paraburkholderia aspalathi. The record is from RNAcentral. Lineage: Bacteria; Pseudomonadati; Pseudomonadota; Betaproteobacteria; Burkholderiales; Burkholderiaceae.
GCGAGCCGUAUGCGGGGAAACUCGCACGUACGGUUCUUCGGGGGCCGCGUUUCCGGGAGGGAGCGCGGCUACCCUCU